CAUGUACUCCCUCCGUUCGGAAUUACUUGUCUUGGAUAUGGAUGUAUCUAGAACUAAAAUACAUCUAGAUACAUCCAUUUCUGCGACAAGUAAUUCCGAACGGAGGGAGUACCUC
This is a non-coding RNA of Triticum aestivum (bread wheat), 115 nucleotides long. The record is from Rfam. Lineage: Eukaryota; Viridiplantae; Streptophyta; Magnoliopsida; Poales; Poaceae.